This is a small nucleolar RNA of Macaca mulatta (Rhesus monkey), 93 nucleotides long. Lineage: Eukaryota; Metazoa; Chordata; Mammalia; Primates; Cercopithecidae. The record is from Ensembl.
AAGACUUAUGGAUAGGUGCAAAACAUAAAUCCUCUUUUGCAACACAGAACUAAUAGUUCAGUAUGAAUUUUGAUACAUAUAAGAAGGGAUAUU